This 1360-nucleotide ribosomal RNA is filed under the name metagenome. Its description in RNAcentral is "bacterial LSU rRNA". It matches the Rfam family "Bacterial large subunit ribosomal RNA", at positions 1548 to 2925 of the family's 2925-position model. The record is from RNAcentral.
AAAUAAUGCUGGGGUACGAUGCGGAGCGAAAUUUAGUAGCGAAGUAGCUGAUUUCACACUGUCGAGAAAAGUCUCUAUCGAGGUUAAAGGUGCCUGUACCGCAAACCGACACAGGUGGGUGAGGAGAGUAUCCUAAGGCCAGCGAGAGAACUGUUGUUAAGGAACUCGGCAAAAUGACCCCGUAACUUAGGGAGAAGGGGUGCCUUCGAAAGAAGGCCGCAGAGAAUAGGCCCAAGCGACUGUUUACCAAAAACAUAGGUUUCUGCUAAGUCGCAAGACGAUGUAUAGGAGCUGACGCCUGCCCGGUGCUGGAAGGUUAAGGGGAUCUGUUAGAGCAAUCGAAGCAGUGAACUUAAGCCCCAGUAAACGGCGGCCGUAACAAUAACGGUCCUAAGGUAGUGAAAUUCCUUGUCGGGUAAGUUCCGACCCGCACGAAAGGCGUAACGAUUUGGGCACUGUCUCAACAACAGACUCGGUGAAAUUGUAAUACCGGUGAAGAUGCCGGUUACCUGCGACAGGACGGAAAGACCCCAUGGAGCUUUACUGUAGCUUGACAUUGAGUCUCGGUGCUACAUGUACAGGAUAGGUGGGAGACUAUGAAGCAUGGACGUCAGUCUGUGUGGAGUCAUCCUUGGGAUACCACCCUUGUAGUACUGGGAUUCUAACCAGAGGCCAUGAAUCUGGUCUUGGGACACUGUCAGGUGGACAGUUUGACUGGGGCGGUCGCCUCCCAAAAAGUAACGGAGGCGCCCAAAGGUUCUCUCAGUACGGUCGGAAAUCGUACGAAGAGUGUAAAGGCAAAAGAGAGCUUGAUUGCAAGACAUACAGGUCGAGCAAGGACGAAAGUCGGACUUAGUGAUCCGGUGGUUCCGCAUGGAAGGGCCAUCGCUCAACGGAUAAAAGCUACCCUGGGGAUAACAGGCUGAUCUCCCCCAAGAGUCCACAUCGACGGGGAGGUUUGGCACCUCGAUGUCGGCUCAUCACAUCCUGGGGCUGUAGUAGGUCCCAAGGGUUGGGCUGUUCGCCCAUUAAAGUGGUACGCGAGCUGGGUUCAGAACGUCGUGGGACAGUUCGGUCCCUAUCCGUCGCAGGCGUAGGAAAUUUGAGGAGACCUGUCCUUAGUACGAGAGGACCGGGAUGGACGUACCGCUGGUGUACCAGAUGUUCUGCCAAGGGCAUGGCUGGGUAGCUAAGUACGGAAAGGAUAAGCGCUGAAAGCAUCUAAGCGCGAAGCCCACUUCAAGAUAAGAUUUCCCACCGCAAGGUUAAGAUCCCAGGAAGACUACCUGGUUGAUAGGUCAGAGGUGUAAGUACAGUAAUGUAUUUAGCUUACUGAUACUAAUAGAUCGAGGACUUGAUC